UGGGGAAUUUUGGACAAUGGGCGCAAGCCUGAUCCAGCAAUGCCGCGUGCAGGAUGAAGGCCUUCGGGUUGUAAACUGCUUUUGUACGGAGCGAAAAGGACUGCCCUAAUACGGUGGGCUCAUGACGGUACCGUAAGAAUAAGCACCGGCUAACUACGUGCCAGCAGCCGCGGUAAUACGUAGGGUGCGAGCGUUAAUCGGAAUUACUGGGCGUAAAGCGUGCGCAGGCGGUUAUGUAAGACAGAGGUGAAAUCCCCGGGCUCAACCUGGGACCUGCAUUUGUGACUGUAUAGCUAGAGUACGGUAGAGGGGGAUGGAAUUCCGCGUGUAGCAGUGAAAUGCGUAGAUAUGCGGAGGAACACCGAUGGCGAAGGCAAUCCCCUGGACCUGUACUGACGCUCAUGCACGAGAGCGUGGGGAGCAAACA
This 427-nucleotide ribosomal RNA is filed under the name uncultured bacterium. Its description in RNAcentral is "bacterial SSU rRNA". It matches the Rfam family "Bacterial small subunit ribosomal RNA", at positions 355 to 774 of the family's 1533-position model. The record is from RNAcentral.